RNAcentral lists this long non-coding RNA (806 nucleotides) under Homo sapiens (human). RNAcentral's name for it is "non-protein coding lnc-RIMBP2-2:1". The record is from RNAcentral. Lineage: Eukaryota; Metazoa; Chordata; Mammalia; Primates; Hominidae.
AGAAGUAACAUCAAGUUAUUCUUAUGCUCAGAGAAGGCUAAUAAAUUUGGGGCGAGGCCAAAAGGCGUUGGAAGCCAGUAGUUUGAAAGAAAAAUAGCUUUCCAAAGGCUUUCGCUUUGUAAAAACUAAAUGGUGCCUUUUGGAAUACAAUGUGAACAUAACUUUUCCAAGGAUUUAAGGUGUUGAUGAGAAAGACAUUCUGAGACCUGCCAGCAGAUGGAGCCAUAAAACAAGAAAUAGAUGUUUACAGCCUCAACUCGGGAGAAAAAUACCGUGAAUGCACCUUACACUAUAGAAGUAACACUUUUCCCUCUGCUUUAUUUUCUCUAUAUGCUAAACUCCUUACUUGCCUCUGCUAAAGAACAUCGCUGGAGUGUCUUGGUGUGUGAAGUAUGAAAUAGUUUCUAAAGACAUAAGUUGUGAUAUAGCAAGACAGAGGCAAAACCCCUCAUUCUUCUGAGAGUGUAAACAUCAUGUCGCAAGAAGCUCACCUAAAAUUUGAAAAGGAAAACUCAACGAAAAUUUGAAAAGAAAUUCAAGGAAAAAAAAAUGUGACCUUUAAAAUUUCCAUGUUGACAGCACCACCAGGACCCCUUCUGGGAUCCGUUGCUAGGGAACAGGAGGAUCGGCAUGGCGGAGCACGUUGGUCUGAGCACAUGUGAGGUGUUUAGAAAACUGCAAGUCAUCCAGCACGGGAGCAACGCCAGGCACAGGCAGGGGAGUCGUAGGGGAUGAUGCUGCAGAAGGGACAGACCGGGUUCUAGAAGUUGGCGAGCAAGGAAAUGUGAGCAUCUGGACUGCCGAAC